AUCCUUUUGUAGUUCCUAAGUGUGACAUAUGCCUCCUUCAAAUCUCAUUAGGACAUCAGCACAUUACCCAUCUGACA
This 77-nucleotide small nucleolar RNA is filed under the name Nomascus leucogenys (northern white-cheeked gibbon). Its description in RNAcentral is "Small nucleolar RNA U13". It matches the Rfam family "Small nucleolar RNA U13". Lineage: Eukaryota; Metazoa; Chordata; Mammalia; Primates; Hylobatidae. The record is from Rfam by way of RNAcentral.